UACGUAGGGUGCGAGCGUUGUCCGGAAUUACUGGGCGUAAAGAGCUCGUAGGUGGUUUGUCGCGUUGUUCGUGAAAACUCACAGCUUAACUGUGGGCGUGCGGGCGAUACGGGCAGACUGGAGUACUGCAGGGGAGACUGGAAUUCCUGGUGUAGCGGUGGAAUGCGCAGAUAUCAGGAGGAACACCGGUGGCGAAGGCGGGUCUCUGGGCAGUAACUGACGCUGAGGAGCGAAAGCCAGGGUAGCGAACGGG
This 253-nucleotide ribosomal RNA is filed under the name uncultured bacterium. RNAcentral's name for it is "partial 16S ribosomal RNA". It matches the Rfam family "Bacterial small subunit ribosomal RNA", at positions 524 to 776 of the family's 1533-position model. The record is from RNAcentral.